AUGAAGAGGCUGGUGGUCCUGAGGAGGUGCGAGCCGAUCGUGCGGUUCAGCUGCUGCGGUGUGCGGUAUGGCGAGUGCCGCCGCAACCACGCCGCCAGCACGGGGGGCUAUGCCGUGGACGGUUGCCGGGAGUUCAUCGCCGAGGGCGAGGAGGGCACCUUCGGCGCGCUCAAGUGCUCGGCCUGCGGCUGCCACCGCAGCUUCCACCACAGGGUGCAGGUCUACGAGGUUGCAUGGGACUGCGAGUCCGAUACGUCGUCGUCGUCUUCAAGCAGCAGCUAG
RNAcentral lists this ribosomal RNA (282 nucleotides) under Triticum aestivum (bread wheat). Its description in RNAcentral is "partial small subunit ribosomal RNA". Lineage: Eukaryota; Viridiplantae; Streptophyta; Magnoliopsida; Poales; Poaceae. The record is from RNAcentral.